CCUACGGGCGGCAGCAGUGAGGAAUAUUGGUCAAUGGUCGGGAGACUGAACCAGCCAAGCCGCGUGAGGGAGGAAGGUACAGAGUAUCGUAAACCUCUUUUGUCAGGGACCAAAGGCGGGGACGUGUCCCCGGAUGAGUGUACCUGAAGAAAAAGCAUCGGCUAACUCCGUGCCAGCAGCCGCGGUAAUACGGGGGAUGCGAGCGUUAUCCGGUUUUAUUGGGUUUAAAGGGUGCGCAGGCGGUCUGUUAAGUCAGCGGUAAAAGCCCGGGGCUCAACCCCGGCCCGCCGUUGAAACUGGCAGUCUCGAGUUGGAGAGAAGUAUGCGGAAUGCGCGGUGUAGCGGUGAAAUGCAUAGAUAUCGCGCAGAACUCCGAUUGCGAAGGCAGCAUGCCGGCUCCACACUGACGCUGAGGCACGAAAGCGUGGGUAUCGAACAGGAUUAGAUACCCGUGUAGUC
This 459-nucleotide ribosomal RNA is filed under the name uncultured bacterium. RNAcentral's name for it is "partial 16S ribosomal RNA". It matches the Rfam family "Bacterial small subunit ribosomal RNA", at positions 338 to 795 of the family's 1533-position model. The record is from RNAcentral.